RNAcentral lists this ribosomal RNA (493 nucleotides) under uncultured bacterium. RNAcentral describes it as "partial 16S ribosomal RNA". It matches the Rfam family "Bacterial small subunit ribosomal RNA", at positions 28 to 507 of the family's 1533-position model. The record is from RNAcentral.
GACGAACGCUGGCGGCGUGCUUAACACAUGCAAGUCGAACGGUGAAGCGCCUUUCUUUUUGGCGGCUGUGGGUGAGUGGCGAACUGGUGCGUAACACGUUAGUAACCUGCCCCCUUCUUCUGGAUAACCGCAGGAAAGUUAGGCCAAUACAGGAGAUUCUGGGUCUGUGGGAUGGUGGUCUGGGGCAGUUUUUGUUUCGGCGGGGGAUGGGAUGGCGGACUAUCAGGUUGUUGGUGGAGUACUGGCCUACCAAGGCGAUGUCGGGAAGCCGGCCUGAGAGGGUGGGCGGCACCAGUGGGGAGGAGACCCGGAGACGACUACGACGGGAGGCAGCAGUGGAGAAUAGUGAACAGUGGGAGCAAGGCUGCAGCAGCGACGCGGCGGGAGGGAUGGCGGCCGUCGGGUUAUGAGCCUCUUUCGCGAGUGAAGCACGCUUGCCUCGUAUGUGGGGGGGUUGACGGUAGCGGGAUAAGAAGCACCGGCUAACUACGUG